GAGGCUGUUCGUUAGGGCGUACAACACCACCUCUUCUGAGAUCCCCUCAAUCUUCUGCACCUCGCUCGCGAACCGGUCCAUGUACGUGCGCGUGCUCUCCGAUUCUCCCUGUAUGACGGUACUGAGGGCGGCCUUGAUUUUCGGCCUUCUUCGGCGGUGCGCGAAAGCCGCCCGGAAUACCGCCACUAAGCCUUCGUAGGUGUGCACGG
RNAcentral lists this long non-coding RNA (209 nucleotides) under Zostera marina. Its description in RNAcentral is "long non-coding RNA (ZMAR_LNC001801)". Lineage: Eukaryota; Viridiplantae; Streptophyta; Magnoliopsida; Alismatales; Zosteraceae. The record is from RNAcentral.